Molecule: transfer RNA, 72 nt
Filed under: Sphaerodactylus townsendi
Lineage: Eukaryota; Metazoa; Chordata; Lepidosauria; Squamata; Sphaerodactylidae
Description: tRNA-Ala
Rfam family: tRNA
About the family: Transfer RNA (tRNA) molecules are approximately 80 nucleotides in length.
Source: RNAcentral
GGGAAUGUGGCUCAGUCGUAGAGAAUCUGCUUGGCAUGCAGAAGAUCCCAAGUUCAAUCUGUGGCAUUUCCA